AUUGAACGCUGGCGGCAUGCUUUACACAUGCAAGUCGAACGGUAACAGGGUGAUUGCACCGCUGACGAGUGGCGAACGGGUGAGUAAUGCGUCGGAACGUGCCGAGUAGUGGGGGAUAACGCAGCGAAAGUUGUGCUAAUACCGCAUACGUACUGAGGUAGAAAGUGGGGGACCUUCGGGCCUCACGCUAUUCGAGCGGCCGACGUCUGAUUAGCUGGUAGGUGAGGUAAAGGCUCACCUAGGCGACGAUCAGUAGCGGGGCUGAGAGGAGGAUACGCCACACGGGGACUGAGAGACGGCCCCGACUACUACGGGAGGCAGGAGUGGGGAAGUUUGGACAUGGGCGAAGGCCUGAUCCAGCCAUGCCGCGUGUCUGAAGAAGGCCUUCGGGUUGUAAAGGACGUUUGUCAGGGAGGAAAUCCCUAGUGCUAAUAACACUGGGGGAUGACAGUACCUGAAGAAUAAGCACCGGCUAACUACGUGCCAGCAGCCGCAGUAA
RNAcentral lists this ribosomal RNA (499 nucleotides) under uncultured bacterium. Its description in RNAcentral is "partial 16S ribosomal RNA". It matches the Rfam family "Bacterial small subunit ribosomal RNA", at positions 29 to 523 of the family's 1533-position model. The record is from RNAcentral.